UCCUUCCUGUUAAAGCACCAGGCUAAAAUUGUAGAACUUGGUUAAUCUAGUCAUGCAAUAAUGCUAGCUCUGGUACACGCAGGAAGGAGAGUAAAAAAAUGCAUGGUCAUCAAAAUGAGACUAGGACGGACCUCUUUCUUAAUGUCCAUUGUCUUUUGUCUCGUGGUGUAGUGCAACAGUU
Molecule: small nucleolar RNA, 181 nt
Organism: Protopterus annectens (West African lungfish)
Lineage: Eukaryota; Metazoa; Chordata; Ceratodontiformes; Protopteridae
Product: small nucleolar RNA SNORA81
Exons: 1
Source: RefSeq, a predicted model, not a curated record